GCCUGGGUGGCUCAGUCGGUUGAGCGUCUGAUUUCGGCUCAGGUCAAGAUCUCACAGUUCGUGGGUUCGAGUCCUGCAUCGGUCU
RNAcentral lists this transfer RNA (85 nucleotides) under Felis catus (domestic cat). It matches the Rfam family "tRNA". Rfam says of the family: Transfer RNA (tRNA) molecules are approximately 80 nucleotides in length. Their secondary structure includes four short double-helical elements and three loops (D, anti-codon, and T loops). Further hydrogen bonds mediate the characteristic L-shaped molecular structure. tRNAs have two regions of fundamental functional importance: the anti-codon, which is responsible for specific mRNA codon recognition, and the 3' end, to which the tRNAs corresponding amino acid is attached (by aminoacyl-tRNA synthetases). tRNAs cope with the degeneracy of the genetic code in two manners: having more than one tRNA (with a specific anti-codon) for a particular amino acid; and 'wobble' base-pairing, i.e. permitting non-standard base-pairing at the 3rd anti-codon position. The record is from Rfam by way of RNAcentral. Lineage: Eukaryota; Metazoa; Chordata; Mammalia; Carnivora; Felidae.